Molecule: long non-coding RNA, 573 nt
Organism: Macrosteles quadrilineatus (aster leafhopper)
Lineage: Eukaryota; Metazoa; Arthropoda; Insecta; Hemiptera; Cicadellidae
Exons: 5
Source: RefSeq, a predicted model, not a curated record
GUUACCGAAGAAACAGUUUAGGCUGUAAAUAGCUGUUUGGGAUAGGUAGUUUUGAUCUUAUGUGUCUGCUGUUUAAAAGCUGAGAAGGUGAAUAAUCCAGGUUUGCAACAGGUACACAAGAGAGGCCGAAAGGUGCCCUCAAAAAUCUUUUCAGGCAUAAAAAAGGUCAAAAUAUGAGGGUUAUAGCUGUAAUUGCUAUCGUAGUGAUGAUGUCAUUAACAUCUCAACAACAAACAGUUAAGCCUUCUAGGGAGGCGAUUAAAGCAGAUUUGAACACAAGAGUUGUUGGGCUGCUAAGAGAUUUGGGUAAUCGUUUCGAGAGAAUUUCAGAAGACGAGUUCAUGAGGAUUGGAAAGGAAAUAGAGAUAUCUCCUGAAUACACAGCCACAUGGCAAAAGUUUGAAAAAAAUAGUGGAACAUAAUAACAUUUAUAAUAUUUUUUUCCAAAUUAAUUGGCUAAAUUGUUGGAUUAUUCCACUUUGCCUUAAGCCAAAGUCAUAAUCCAAUUUGAAUAGUCAUAAUCUGUAUAUGAAAGAUGAUUAUGUUAAAUUAAACCUAUUCCUACCACAUGAA